Molecule: non-coding RNA, 73 nt
Organism: Trichonephila inaurata madagascariensis
Lineage: Eukaryota; Metazoa; Arthropoda; Arachnida; Araneae; Nephilidae
Source: the annotation of a GenBank genome assembly
GUUUCUAUAGCGCAAUGGUUAGUGUGUUGGACUUGUAAUCCAAAGGUCGUGAGUUUGAGUCUCACCUGGGAUG